RNAcentral lists this ribosomal RNA (805 nucleotides) under Meloidogyne javanica (root-knot nematode). RNAcentral describes it as "16S ribosomal RNA". Lineage: Eukaryota; Metazoa; Nematoda; Chromadorea; Rhabditida; Meloidogynidae. The record is from RNAcentral.
AUUAUUUUUUUAGAUUAUUUUUUAUUGUUGAAAAAAUUAAAAACAAAUUGUUUUUUACAAUAAUUAAAAUUUAUAAUAUUUCAAUUUUUAAUUUUUAGUUUUAAAUAAAAAUUACAAAUAUGAAAAAUAAAAAAAUUUUGUUAUAAAUUAAAUUAAUUUAUUUAUAUUAAAAAUAUUUUUUAUAAUUUUUAUUUUUUUUUAUUUUUUUAAAAAAAAAAUAAUUUAAUUAUAAUUAUUUAUUUAAAUUUAAUAAUUAAAUAUAAAAUUUUUUAUUAAAUAAAUUUAAUAAUAAAUGUUUUUUAAAUUCUUUGAGGUUUUGAUUUUUGAUUUUUUGUUUCUGCUCAUUGUUAAAGAAAAGCACUUUUAGCGUGAUUGGUCAAAGGUAGCGAGGUAAUUUGUUUUUUUAUUGAAUUCUAGUAUGAAUGGAUUUUUUGUUAUUAAAUAUAUUGAUUUUAAAAAGAAUUUUAAAUUUAUUUAAAAAAUAAUAAAUAAAAUAAAACUAAGAAAAGUCUUUAGAAAUUUAUUAUUUAAUUUAAUUAGGGAAAUAAAAUAAUUAAUAUUUUUUUCUUAAUCAAAAAAAAAAAUUUCUCUAGAGUUAACAGAAAUAAAUAUUAAUUUAUUAUUUUUACAUCGAUGUUGUUUUAUUUAAUAUUAAAAAUGAGAAACUUUUGAGUGAGAGACUGUUCUUCUUUUUUUAAUACGUGAAAUUAGUUUAAUUCGUUGUGAAAUAGAGUUGUUUAUCUAGUUUAUUAAAUUAGAAAAUAAAUAGUACGAAAGGAAAAUUAUUUUAAAUUAAAUUUUUUAA